This 661-nucleotide ribosomal RNA is filed under the name Stomatellinae gen. 2 sp. JEU-2016. RNAcentral's name for it is "partial 12S ribosomal RNA". Lineage: Eukaryota; Metazoa; Mollusca; Gastropoda; Trochida; Trochidae. The record is from RNAcentral.
GACAAACAGGUCGAGUUAAGUUAUGGUUGGCAAAAAAGGGAGUCAGAAAGUUGUAAUGUAAGAGGUAAUUGAGAGAAAAAGAAAUUUUUUUUGUAGAGGUGGAAUUUGCGUAAAAAAAGGUGGGUUAAAAGUUUUCUGUUAUUUUGAUGCUCCGAGAAUUAAUGGAGAGACCGGGAUUAGAUACCCCGUUAUUUUUAUUGUAAAUUUUGGUUUCCUGCCUGAGUAUUACGGGUAGAAUUGACUUGUAGUUUGGUUGUUAAUUACAAGGUUUUUGUUACUUAAAACUCAAAAAACUUGGCGGUGCUUUAUUUCUUUCCAGGGGAACCUGUCCUGUAAUCGAUAGUCCACGAUUUAGCUUACUUUUUUUUGAAUAGGAUAGUUGUGUAAAUUGACCUAUCAGCUUGUAUACCGUCGUCGUCAGACUACCUUUAAAAGAGUAAAAGUUGUCGGGAAAAUAUUAAUUAGAGUAAGACUGUAUGUUGGUUAGUUUAGUUAUGUUCUGAUGUCAGAUCAAGGUGCAGUUUAUGAAAAAGAAGAGAUGGGUUACAUUAUAUAGUUAAUUUGGCAAUUAGGCUGUAAAGCUUAGUUAAAAUUGGACUUGGAAGUAAUAUUAUAAUGGAAACGAUUAGUUAGCAAAUGUGAAUAUUGUACUGAGGCGCGU